This 205-nucleotide long non-coding RNA is filed under the name Elaeis guineensis (African oil palm). RNAcentral describes it as "long non-coding RNA (EGUI_LNC015771)". The record is from RNAcentral. Lineage: Eukaryota; Viridiplantae; Streptophyta; Magnoliopsida; Arecales; Arecaceae.
CAGGAUUGGCUUUGGGCCUUUCUUGAGCAAGUAAGAUGGAAUGCAAAAGAGGCCUCCUCCUCAAGAGGCCCAAGACAUCACCUCAUCGGAUUCAUUUUCAUGCCAACUAACUAUGAUGGCUACCCACUCCGGAAUUGUUGUAGUAUUUCGUCGUCUUCAGCCCCACCAGCUGUGCCUCCAAACGGUGCUUCAUUUUCCAUGGGAA